This 403-nucleotide ribosomal RNA is filed under the name uncultured bacterium. RNAcentral's name for it is "bacterial SSU rRNA". It matches the Rfam family "Bacterial small subunit ribosomal RNA", at positions 355 to 774 of the family's 1533-position model. The record is from RNAcentral.
UCGGGAAUAUUGCGCAAUGGAGGAAACUCUGACGCAGUGACGCCGCGUAUAGGAAGAAGGUUUUCGGAUUGUAAACUAUUUUAGACAGGGAAGAAAAAAGACAGUACCUGUAAAAUAAGCUCCGGCUAACUACGUGCCAGCAGCCGCGGUAAUACGUAGGGAGCAAGCGUUAUCCGGAUUUAUUGGGUGUAAAGGGUGCGUAGACGGGAAUACAAGUUGGUUGUGAAAUCCCUCGGCUUAACUGAGGAACUGCAACCAAAACUAUAUUUCUUGAGUACUGGAGAGGAAAGUGGAAUUCCUAGUGUAGCGGUGAAAUGCUUAGAUAUCACGCAGAACUCCAAUUGCGAAGGCAGCUUGCUAAACUAUAACUGACACUGAGGCACGAAAGCGUGGGUAUCAAACA